UGAAAACUUUCUGAUAGUGUUUUCCCUGUAAUGUUCCCUGCUUUAAAUGGUGUUAUCAGGACUGUGUUCAUUCAAUAGUCUGUUCUCAGAUACUCUUAAUGAAAGGAUUAAAUAUACCGUUGAAUUCAAAGGUUGCUUUCAUACAAUAAAAGCUUUAGCUCAUUUGCCUGAAGAUAUUAAUUAUCUUUCCCUAUUGGCAGAAUGUAGUACAGCGAGGAUGAUGACUGCUGGGCAUUGUAUAAGGUGAUGUUGGGGCUGCCCCAUGUCGGCCUCAGCCGGCCCCAGCCGGCUCCAACGGCCCCACUCCAAGGCAGAGCCAGGCCCCACAGCCAAGAUGGUGGCACCUCGGAGGCAGCCUGGAGAAGAGAGGACACUGCACAGCAGAGAGCAGUGAGGGUGAGGGAAGGGUUGAGGAUAAUCCAUCAUCGUCCUGAACUUCAAAAUGACGACAUCUGGACUACAUCCUCACAAUGGUGUAGCACUGACACUUCAAACAAACUCUGAAAAUGGUUAAAAAAAGAAGCACUACUUACAACCAUCUCACGAGGAUGAUCAUCUGUGGGCAAACAAAAGACUAAAAGACUCAUUUUUGCUGGAAACAUUUGAAGUUCCUUUAUUUUUUUUUUUUCUUUCUUCCCUUUUCCUGGCUUUAACUUAUUGAACUUUUUAGUUAAGGCAGCCUGAAGGCACUAAAUUACAGAUGGUGCUCACUCAUUCUAAAAUUGAAACCUUCCUCUUUCAAAAGGUAAUUGUUUCCAGUUGAUACAUGCAACAUGAAUUGGAUAAGUCAAUCAUUUCUUGAAUGAAAAUAGCUCUUAUAUUCUUGCAAAGUCAAACUCUGUCAAAGGAUCUCUCUGUCCUAAGAAAAGAGAUUGCAUGCUAUUUCCUUCCCUUAUGAUCUAACUUUCUCAACCCCCCUCUAUAGUACCUUUGGCAGAAACAAGUAAAAGUAACAAAUGUUCCUUUUUAUUUAUAGUCUAUGAAUGUAAAAAUAAAAUUGGAAAAAAGUAGAUUAUAUAUUUGAAA
Anser brachyrhynchus (Pink-footed goose) is the source of this 1026-nucleotide long non-coding RNA. Lineage: Eukaryota; Metazoa; Chordata; Aves; Anseriformes; Anatidae. The record is from Ensembl.